This 30-nucleotide non-coding RNA is filed under the name Cricetulus griseus (Chinese hamster). Lineage: Eukaryota; Metazoa; Chordata; Mammalia; Rodentia; Cricetidae. The record is from RNAcentral.
GUAGACCAGAGAUCCACCUGCCUUGGCCUC